AGAGUUUGAUCCUGGCUCAGGAUGAACGCUGGUGGUAUGCUUAACACAUGCAAGUUGAACGAUGGCUCUUGAAGUCAUAGUAGCGGACGGGUGAGUAACGCGUAAGUUAUCAACACUUGGGUGAGGGACAACAAAUGGAAACGUUUGCUAAUACCUCGUAAUACUGAAGAGUUAAAGUAUGAAUAAUACCCCUGAGUACGAGCUUGCGUCUGAUUAGCUUGUUGGUGGGGUAACAGCCUACCAAGGCUUUGAUCAGUAGCUGGUUUGAGAAAACGAUCAGCCACACUGGAACUGAGACACGGAACAGACUCCUACGGGAGGCAGCAGUGGGGAAUAUUUCGCAAUGGGCGAAAGCCUGACGAAGCAAUACCACGUGGAGGAUGAAGGCCUUUGGGUUGUAAACUCCCUUUCUCAUUGAAGAAGAUCUGACGGUAUUUGAGGAAUAAGUAUCGGCUAACUCUGUGCCAGCAGCCGCGGUAAUACAGAGGAUACAAGCGUUAUCUGGAAUUAUUGAGCGUAAAGCGUUCUGUAGAUGGUUUUCUAAGUUUAAUGUUAAAGAUCAGGGCUUAACUUUGAAAUGGCAUUGAAAACUGGGAGACUUGAGUACGAUAGAGGUAGAGGGAAUUUCCAGUGUAGCGGUGAAAUGCGUAGA
This 652-nucleotide ribosomal RNA is filed under the name uncultured bacterium. RNAcentral describes it as "bacterial SSU rRNA". It matches the Rfam family "Bacterial small subunit ribosomal RNA", at positions 8 to 694 of the family's 1533-position model. The record is from RNAcentral.